Molecule: ribosomal RNA, 496 nt
Filed under: uncultured bacterium
Lineage: Bacteria
Description: partial 16S ribosomal RNA
Rfam family: Bacterial small subunit ribosomal RNA
Source: RNAcentral
GAUGAACGCUGGCGGCGUGCCUAAUACAUGCAAGUCGAGCGAACAGACGAGGAGCUUGCUCCUCUGACGUUAGCGGCGGACGGGUGAGUAACACGUGGAUAACCUACCUAUAAGACUGGGAUAACUUCGGGAAACCGGAGCUAAUACCGGAUAAUAUAUUGAACCGCAUGGUUCAAUAGUGAAAGACGGUUUUGCUGUCACUUAUAGAUGGAUCCGCGCCGCAUUAGCUAGUUGGUAAGGUAACGGCUUACCAAGGCAACGAUGCGUAGCCGACCUGAGAGGGUGAUCGGCCACACUGGAACUGAGACACGGUCCAAACCCCUACGGGAGGCAGCAGGAGGGAAUCUUCCGGAAUGGGCGAAAGCCUGACGGGGAAACGCCGCGGGGGUGAUGAAGGUUUUCGGAUCGUAAAACUCUUUUAUUAGGGAAGAAAAAAUGUGUAAGUAAAUAUGCACGUUUUGACGGUACCUAAGCAAAAAGCCACGGCUAACUACGU